Molecule: ribosomal RNA, 492 nt
Filed under: uncultured bacterium
Lineage: Bacteria
Description: partial 16S ribosomal RNA
Rfam family: Bacterial small subunit ribosomal RNA
Source: RNAcentral
AGUGAACGCUGGCGGUAUGCCUAACACAUGCAAGUCGAACGGCAGCACAGUAAGAGCUUGCUCUUACGGGUGGCGAGUGGCGGACGGGUGAGGAAUACAUCGGAAUCUACUUUUUCGUGGGGGAUAACGGAGGGAAACUGACGCUAAUACCUCAUACGACCUACGGGUGAAAGCAGGGGAUCUUCAGACCUUGCGCGAUUGAAUGAGCCGGCGUCGGAUUAGCUAGUUGGCGGGGUAAAGGCCCACCAAGGCGACGAUCCGUAGCUGGUCUGAGAGGAUGAUCAGCCACACUGGAACUGAGACACGGUCCAGACUCCUACGGGAGGCAGCAGUGGGGAAUCUUCGGCAAUGGGCGAAAGCCUGAUCCAGCAAUGCCGCGUGGGUGAAGAAGGUCUUCGGGUCGUAAAGCCCUGUUGUUGGGAAAGAAAAGCAGCAGGUUAAUCCCUGGCUGUUCUGACGGUACCCAAAGAAUAAGCACCGGCUAACUUCGUG